Molecule: long non-coding RNA, 1190 nt
Filed under: Strigops habroptila (Kakapo)
Lineage: Eukaryota; Metazoa; Chordata; Aves; Psittaciformes; Psittacidae
Description: lncRNA (ENSSHBG00005017911.1)
Source: RNAcentral
UUUUUUUUCUCUUUUAGAGUUUUUAUGGUUUCAUGUAAGCAGUUAAUGUAAAUAUUGUGAGCAUUACAGGUCAUGCAGUGUUGUAACAUUUUAAAAAAUGUUGCACCUACUUUAUGAUUAAAAAACUGGUCACUCAUACUUGAAUUUUGCCCAUAGAGCCAUUUCUUUCUCUUUGCAUUGAAGCAUAAUAUACUUUUUUGAUGGAGGCCCAACCCUUCUUUCUAUCUUAUUAUUUUUUGUUUAAUAAAUCUAUAUUUUUUCUAAUAGAAGACUUAAAAAUGAAAAUUUAAAAAGUACUUUUUGCCUACUUUCUAAUUUAAGAGAGAAUUCCUAUAUUUAAAAGGUGGAAAAAAAAAAUACUCCAUUGUGGAAAGUGGAACACCACUUUAUAUGUCAUUAAUAUGGCACAAUCACACGAAACUGAACUGGCUGAGUGAAGUGAGCCCACGAUGUCAAGCAGUAUCUCAGUAGAUUAGGGAACGACAUGAUUCUUUGAGAAUGUAAAGUGUUACAUAUUCUUGUCUAUUUAUUUAUUUAUUUAUUAUGCUUUCUUUUGCUAAGUGGGUGACAAUGUGGUUGAGUCAUUCAGAUGACAUUCAAAUUAAAGGAAAUAUUCCUCUUUCUAUUAUGGUGCAUUUUGUGAACACCAUAAAAAAAAUAUUUUCAUUUAUUUCAAUGGAUUUUCUUCAUAUUUUCACUUCUGACAGAAAAUGUUUGGCUGGUAUCAGCUGCAAAAAUAAUAUCCACAUAGUUUAAAAAGAAAAACUUGCAAAAAUCAAAAAAAACCCCAACCCACCUCUGAUGUCCCAGGUCUGUUAUCCUCACAGUCUGAGGUUUUAGGGGUUAAAAAGAGCUUAAAAUUUAAAGGUAUUUCCUAAAUCAGCUCUGCAGAAGGUGUCUAAGUAAUGUGAUAUCCUUUUGGAGUCCCUGAGUUUGAUGGUAUAGAGAUAUUAGAGGGCUCAUGGUGGACUGAAUUACCUUAGGACUGCUACCUUUCUUAGCUACAGUUUGUAUUUUGCUAUGUAGGGUUGUAAUGUGAGAAUUCCAGAAGAGCCGUAGCAUAAAAGUGCUUUUCUAUUUUUAAAAAAAAACCCAUUCUAGUCUUACUAAGAAUUAGAGAUUUUUUUAAUAUCAGUUUUGUAAUUUUUGAUAAAGUUGUCAAUAUUAUGAUUAAAUCACCAGAAAAAAAA